AAACCUACAAACAGGUUUGGUUUAUAAUCCUAAGAAGGCCAAAAUCAAGUUUAAACAAUAAGGAAUACCUUGACCUAUCAAUUAUAAAGAAUUGAAAACUAAAAUAAUUCAAAGGUAGAAUCAAGGAUUUUUGACCCAAAGUUCAUGAUCAAACAAGAACCAAGAAUAUUAAGAUUGUUAAACCCUACAAUAUUAUUCACUCAUGGAGAAUUUGGUUUAGAAUCCCUCUCUUUUGUUAAUCCCAAGUAAUGUUAAAUUGAAAAAUUAUUUAGUUAGCCUUAUAUAUGCGGCUGAAACCCUAAAUCUCU
Molecule: unclassified non-coding RNA, 308 nt
Filed under: Hevea brasiliensis (rubber tree)
Lineage: Eukaryota; Viridiplantae; Streptophyta; Magnoliopsida; Malpighiales; Euphorbiaceae
Source: RNAcentral